Cyprinus carpio carpio is the source of this 3091-nucleotide long non-coding RNA. NCBI's taxonomy places the organism in Eukaryota, Metazoa, Chordata, Actinopteri, Cypriniformes, Cyprinidae. The record is from Ensembl.
AACGGGCUGCACAAAUUUUCAUUAUAACAUUUUGCACGUGUCUCUUUACUUACCUUAAAAACUGUCUCUUUUGACUUGUUGAAAUUAAUUUCCAGAAAUCAUUCACUGAUUUCUGGAACAAAAACCUCUUGAUCUUUCUUGUCUUGUAGGUUCAGUCCAGGAUCAAAUGUUUGGAUACCAGUAGGUGCUCCAUGUGAAAGUAAUCUUGAAUGAUGAAUGAAGGUGCUGGCAGGCUCAGUCUUUCAGAGAGUAAAAUGAGGCAUCAACAUUUAAAGGCCUUAAAAUUGGUGGUCCAGCUGCACAGGAAGUUCCCUGAAGGGCCAAGUCUGGAUCUCACCGUUAAGUCUUUGUGCCAUGAUGAUGGUCACAGCCCAACCAAACUGACCUAAAGCAACUAGAGAGGCGCUUCCAAGCCAGGAAGUUUAAUGUCACAGAAGAUCAGGUUAGAGAAGUGAAUUUGUGGUAGUACAAAUAAUUACUGGGGAAGUACUAUUGUAUAAUGAUGGCAUUAGGUGGUGCUAUUGCAGGUGAUUGCAAAUGUUUUAUAAUAUAUAUUUUUUUUAAUUAUAAUUUAUUAUUAAUAUUAUUUAGAUUUAGCAUUAGUUUUGAUGAUUAGAGUUUUUAAAAUUCAUUUUCUUUUCUUUUUUUCUUUUACAUUGAUAUUUCUACUCCAAUUCCUACCAUAAACAUAGUAGAUUUAUGUACCAUGGUGUUUACUCUGUGUGGUACUCCAAGGCAUUUUAAAGAAUACUGUGGUGUUGCCACACUCUUAAAAAUAAAGGUUCCAAAUAGGGGGUUUCACAGCAGGACCUUAGUAGAACCAUUUUUGGUUCCCUAAAGAAGCUUUCAGUGAACAGUUUCAGUUUUUAAAAUAACCAAAAACAUUAAAAUAACCUCUUUUUUUCACUAUAAAAAACCUUUAUGUAAAGGAAAGGUUCUUUAUGGAACUAAAAUAUGCUUAUUUUCAAGAGUGAUGGUGUAUGUCCAAAGCAUCUUAUUACAAUGAUACAUUUUGGUACUUUUUGCUAGUGCUUUACUGUUCAUAUUAAAUACAUUAUUUGUUUGUUUUUUUUAUUGGCAACUCCUGUUGCUUAUUUAUAAUUAACAGCUUUAUACACUUAUGGGGAGGCAUUUAGGAAUUAUUUAGAUAAUUUUUGUUUCUCUUAUUGCACAAAUAUUGGUUUCCUCUCAACAUUUUAGAGAGCUCAGAGUAUACAAGUUUAGUUCAGAUAGAAACUUUAGUAUCACAGAGAAAGGCUGGAUCAUGUCAGGUAACCAAUAAUAUACUUACCGUCUCUUUUUGCUACUGCAAAUUGCCUUGCGGUGUGUUUUAUCCUUUAGCAAGUUGGUCUCCUCAUCGGCUGAGAAUUCCCGGUAUCUGUCAAUUAUCCUCUCUCUCCGGCAUCCGCAUAGCCUCUCUGUCUCCAAUCACAGCUCAUCAACGGUGUUCUCAGUGAGCGCUCCAGUCAAAUGUUUGUUAUGUUAGCGGCGCUCGCCAACACUCCCAGUCGCCCCCUUAAAACCUCAUUCAUUUGGCCUGUCUGACUCUGAGCUCUACUACAACUAUGCUGCGCAAAUAAUUAAAGGCUUUAGUUAAAUACAUAGUUGGGGUAUUUGGAGACUAGGGGAUCUGUAAUAGCAUUUGCUAUUAUUCACUCAGGCUUUGAUUGCCUGACAGAAACAAAUUAGGCCCCAGGAUUAAUUUCCAGUAAAAUGUGCCAAGUGAAUGCAAUUGACUCCAAUUAAAGCAUGAAAGGACACUAAAUAUUCAAAUCAGCAGAGCCGUUGAUGGCGGGCCGAUAAAGAAUGGCGUGGAAGUGUGCCAAGGGAGAAAACCAGCCAUUCACGGGCACCUGAGGGAAAAUAACAGGCUCUCAUUCAAUAAAGAGUAGCUGGGGCAACAGACGUGUGUUUUUGCUGCAGAACAUGCCCCCGCUGGCAUGUUGUUGUUGUCGGGUCACAUCAGCGGCUAUUCACAAGCGUUCACUGUUUUGAGCUGAUUUGAAUAUCAAGGCCAUAUUAAGACACCUAAGUGCUUAUGUAUUAUACAUGCUAAGUGCUUGUUCAAGUUUAUGCUGGGACACGUUUUGUAAUAGGCAGCAUUGUCACAUACAUGAGCAUAAUUAGAGUGAUUAAAUAAUAAUGUCCCAGAAUGCAAAUUUCAAACUGGUGGUGGCAUCUGCAAACAUAGCAUGUGCACUGUGUAGUUAUGUGAGAUUAGUAAUGGAUUAAUUAAGUAAUUUCAGAAAUUGAGUAUACAUUUAAAGGGGAUUCUUGUGGGAUAAAAGAGCUUGAUGUGCUAUGAAAACAAACUGUAGCUUUCACAACCUCUUUCUUUCUAGUCCAAAGAGAGCAUUUACUAAAAUGUCUUGUUUUGACACCAAAAUACAUCAACAUGUGUCUGUCCAAUGAUGGGUAAUGGAUGAUGAGAAUAUUGGUGGAGAAACUCGAAUGAAUGCUAUUAUUUUUGAACAUCAGAAGAACUAUUAUUAAUAUGUGGGAAUGUUGUUCCUGGUUGUGUGUAACACAUAAUGCUCAGAAAAUCCUUCUGAAGAACAACAUUUGAAACUAGCAGGUGGAAUUUAUUUUUCAGAAAAUCUCUGAUCAUUUUAGUUUGAGUUUUUGGAAGCUUUGGGUGUUAAGGAUGAGAGAGUUUAAACAUUAUUGGACACAACAAACCCGCAUGAAAAGGAGGCAUUUGUUUGGUACAGCAGAAAAAAAUAAAAAAAAUUAAAAAUAGAAAUCUUACAUUAAAAGUAGACAUUCUCAGGGGAAAAUCAGUCCAGUUUUGUCUUAGACCUAAAUUAGCAUUAGUUUUGACUUAAGCCUAGUUUAUCUCAGUCGGUUCCUCUAUGUUCCAAUGUCUUGUAUCUGCAGAGUACUGAAGGGUCCAUGUUGAAGUUGAGCAGGUGUACAUGAGGGUAACAUGUGUCUGUGAAUGUGAGAAUUAUCAAAAGGCAGAAAGAGUCUUCAAACAUGUGGUUUAAAAUAAAAAUUAGGCUUUGAGGAGCCCACCUAAGCCCAAAUAUACACAAACACACACAAGAAGGAAGUACAACUCACCUUAAUGAUGGGCUAUGUGAUGGUGGCA